This 900-nucleotide ribosomal RNA is filed under the name Triticum aestivum (bread wheat). Its description in RNAcentral is "partial small subunit ribosomal RNA". Lineage: Eukaryota; Viridiplantae; Streptophyta; Magnoliopsida; Poales; Poaceae. The record is from RNAcentral.
AUGCCUAGCCCUCACCUUCGUUUCUCUUCACCCCAGCAAGGAGAACGCACAUUGUUCUUGAUUAGUUCAGUGAAGUCAGCCAUGGCUUCCGGGAUCGCCAGCAUGUCGUCGUCUCUUGCGGUGCUCCUCCUCGGCGUGCUGCUGCUCUCCCGCGGCGGCGUCGGCAACGCGGCGCGGCACCUGGCGGAGGCCGAGUACCCACCGGUGCCGCCUAAUGUCCCGGCGCCUCUGCCCAAGCCAGACGUGCCGCCGCCGUUGCCCGCACCGGAGGUGCUGCCGAAGCCGGGGCUGCCACCGCUGCCCACACCUGAGGAGCAGCCCAAGCCAGACCUGCCGCCGUUGCCCACACCGGACGUGUUGCCAACGCCGCCGUUGCCCGCACCAGACGUGCUGCCGAAGCCGCAGCUGCCCACGCCUGACGAGCAGCCCAAGCUGACGUGGAACCGAAGCCAGAGCUGCCACCCGUGCCCAAGGGUGACCUUCCACCGAAGCCGGAGCUGCCGCCGCCGUUGCCAACAGGUGAGAUCCCACCAAAGCCGGUUUCGCCGCCUCUUCCUACAGGCGAGCUUCCGCCCAAGCCGGAGCCCGAGCUGCUGCCCAAGACAGACGAGCCACCGAAGCCAGAGCUGCCGCCACUUCCGACCGGUGAGCUUCCACCGAAGCCGGACGUCGAGCUGCCACCCAAGGCAGAGGAGCCCCCGAAGCCGGAGCUGCCGCCAUUUCCGACCGGUGACCUUCCACCAAAGCCGGACGUCGAGCUGCCACCGAAGCCAGACCUGCCGCCGCUCCCUACCGGUGAGCUUCCAUCGACGGCGCAGCCGCCGCUGCCGAAUCCCGCGGAACCAAAACCAUGAUCACUCAACCACCGACGAAUCCAUGCAUGGUCCUCGAUAUGUUUGA